GCUGGGCAUGGUGGCGCAUGCCUGUAAUCUCAGCAGCUUGGGAGGCCAAGGCGGGAAGAUGACAAGUUCAAAGCCAGCUUCAGAAACCUUGAAGUGCUGAGCAACACAGGGAGACCCUGUCUCU
RNAcentral lists this small RNA (124 nucleotides) under Marmota monax (woodchuck). Lineage: Eukaryota; Metazoa; Chordata; Mammalia; Rodentia; Sciuridae. The record is from RNAcentral.